This 1333-nucleotide long non-coding RNA is filed under the name Scleropages formosus (Asian bonytongue). Its description in RNAcentral is "lncRNA (ENSSFOG00015024913.1)". The record is from RNAcentral. Lineage: Eukaryota; Metazoa; Chordata; Actinopteri; Osteoglossiformes; Osteoglossidae.
AAGAGAGGAAAUUAAAACUGACACACAAAAUAUAGAUAUCACUAUAUUAAUAUGACAGGUGCUGUUAUUCAGAGUGAUAUUCAAGCAUUACAAAUCACACAGCUGGCGUCGUCUCCAAGAAUAGAGCAGAAGCCAUUGAGCUAAAGAGGCAAAGUAGCUCAGUACAUGUCUUAAAUAACAUAAUAAUUCAAUAAUAAUUUCUAUCCAGUCAAGGCUUAUCACCUGAAGACUUCUAGAGGUAAGGAUCUUCUCCAAUUACAGGCUUCCUUUGUUUAAUGAGCGUGAUUCUUUCCCGAAGAUACCCUUGUAAAGUGAACUCUCGUAACAAAGAACUCUUCAUUACCAUUAAUUUUAAAAGGAAAAAAUCGAUAAUGCAUUCCUGAGCCACAAGAGGAUCGUGCGUAAGGCUAUCAGUAUUUCGCACGUCGCAGCUAUGACAUGGGAUGCAUGCACCAUGAGCGCCACGAACACCAAAGGGGCCAGGCUGCGGGUUAGAAAAAGUCAGAGGAGCUUGUGAUGCAGUUUAUGGCAGGGCAAUAAAUGUUUAUUAAGCGUUGGAUUCAUGUCUUCUUGCUGCUGUUCUUCAAGUCUAUCCUCCUGCCUAGGCUGCUCAUAUACAGAACACUUACACAGUAAACAAUGUAAAAUCCCUGCCUUAUCUUUUAAACACAGAAAAUGUAAUUUAAAACUAAGUGUGGAAUAUCAAAACUGCUGCGGACACCUGUAAAUCCAAAUUGCUUGUAUACGCGAACGUACCUGCCCGUCAGAGUCAUCGUAAGAGUCGUAUCAUUACGAACACGUGGGCAGUAACUGUGGAGGCUUUAAUCACAGAGUUUAUUUGCACAAACGCGAAAAAACGGAAAGAGAUCACGGAGCACCGAGGAAACAUGCGGCUGAGCAAACCUGAGUAGUCAGGCAAACAAAAGCAGUGAACAAGAUUCAGCAAUGAGCCUUUCCAUCACUUUCCUGAGGACAUUAAGCUGGUGUGAGGAGGUUAAAUAUCUUGCCCAAGACCAGUUCAGCAGUCCUCCUGCAACCUGCAGCCUUAAGGUGAAAAGAAUACACAAAGGAAGGAAGGGAGGGCAGCAGGCAAUGCAAUGGCAAGAGUUGCUGCCUUACAACUGAAGAACCCAGCUUCAAAUCCCUCCACCUGAUGUAAUACCCACGAGAAAGGUACUUACCCUCAGCUGCUUCCGUUAAAAAAAUACCCAGCCGUGAUAACAGGUUAAAAAUUCAAAGUUGCUUAGUGCAGUAUGGUUAAGAUUUUAAAUUGCUUUAAAGGAACCGUGAGCUAGAUCAAUAAAAAUAAUAUGAAGAAUCUUGAUUUAUACCA